Molecule: small RNA, 18 nt
Filed under: Arabidopsis thaliana (thale cress)
Lineage: Eukaryota; Viridiplantae; Streptophyta; Magnoliopsida; Brassicales; Brassicaceae
Description: ATSL052080
Source: RNAcentral
UUCUUACUUCAAUUUCAA